AGUGAACGCUGGCGGUAGGCCUAACACAUGCAAGUCGAACGGCAGCACAGGAGAGCUUGCUCUCUGGGUGGCGAGUGGCGGACGGGUGAGGAAUACAUCGGAAUCUACUCUGUCGUGGGGGAUAACGUAGGGAAAAUUACGCUAAUACCGCAUACGACCUACGGGUGAAAGCAGGGGAUCUUCGGACCUUGCGCGAUUGAAUGAGCCGAUGUCGGAUUAGCUAGUUGGAGGGGUAAAGGCCCACCAAGGCGACGAUCCGUAGCUGGUCUGAGAGGAUGAUCAGCCACACUGGAACUGAGACACGGUCCAGACUCCUACGGGAGGCAGCAGUGGGGAAUAUUGGACAAUGGGCGCAAGCCUGAUCCAGCCAUACCGCGUGGGUGAAGAAGGCCUUCGGGUUGUAAAGCCCUUUUGUUGGGAAAGAAAUCCAGCUGGUUAAUACCCGGUUGGGAUGACGGUACCCAAAGAAUAAGCACCGGCUAACUUCGUGCCAGCCGCCGCGGUAA
This 506-nucleotide ribosomal RNA is filed under the name uncultured bacterium. RNAcentral describes it as "partial 16S ribosomal RNA". It matches the Rfam family "Bacterial small subunit ribosomal RNA", at positions 29 to 523 of the family's 1533-position model. The record is from RNAcentral.